GAUGAAGAACGUAGUGAAAUGCGAUAAGUAAUGUGAAUUGCAGAAUUCAGUGAAUCAUCGAAUCUUUGAACGCACCUUGCACCCUUUGGUAUUCCGAGGAGCAUGCCUGUUUGAGUGUCAUGAAAUUCUCAACCUUUUCAGCUUUCUUUGUUGAUCAGGCUUGGAUGUGGGAGUAUGCGGGCUUCUCAGAAGUCGGCUCUCCUGAAAUGCAUUAGCGGGACCUUUGUUGCCUGGCUUUGGUGUGAUAAUUAUCUACGCCAUUGUAGUCAAGCAGCUUAAAAUGAGGUUUCAGCUUCUAACCGUCUCCCCUGAGACAACUUUUUGACAAUUUGACCUCAAAUCAGGUAGGACUACCCGCUGAACUUAAGCAUAUCAAUAAGCGGAGGA
RNAcentral lists this unclassified non-coding RNA (387 nucleotides) under soil metagenome. RNAcentral describes it as "partial contains 5.8S ribosomal RNA, internal transcribed spacer 2, and large subunit ribosomal RNA". The stretch from base 1 to 120 matches the Rfam family "5.8S ribosomal RNA", at positions 35 to 154 of the family's 154-position model. The record is from RNAcentral.